Molecule: non-coding RNA, 38015 nt
Organism: Xyrichtys novacula (pearly razorfish)
Lineage: Eukaryota; Metazoa; Chordata; Actinopteri; Labriformes; Labridae
Source: the annotation of a GenBank genome assembly
GGGACGGCCCCCGUAUUCUGACACACUCACACACGCAGACACACACCUCCGCGAUGUGUCACUACCAAUUUCACCUGCCUCUUCCCGUCAUUCCCCGCUCGCCGCUCCAUCUUCCUACACUUGAUCUUUUCCCUCUUUUUUUUUUUUUUUUUUUCAUUUGCUCUCACUUUGUUUCUCUCCUCUCCCACCCUUCCUUGUCCUCAACCCCCCCUACGCUGUGUGUCACCGCUGCUGGGAAGAAAAGAAAAAUGCACCGGCUGAAUGAAAGUACAGAGAGAGGGGAUAAAACAGAGAGUCGAAGAGGAGAAGAAGAUAGUGAAAGCUGGAGUGUGUUUGGAGCGCGGCGAUGCCUCCAUCCAUCACGAGCCGGACGCUUCUUUGAUGGAAUAUCGUGAGCAGCGGGGGGGAGAAGAAGGAGAGAGAGAGAGAGAGAAGUAAGAAGCUGAAAAAGUAGAAGAGAAGAGGACUGAAACAAGCGUUGAGAAGGCAGGACAGCCAGCGCUCGCCUCAGGAGGGUAUGGAGACACAAACUGAGAAAAAAACAAACACAUACAGCACGCUCUCCACACUCAUUCCUCUCUAACAACUUCAGCUUCUCCGUCCCUCUUGGCGUUUUUCAUUUCAGUUUUGAUCUCCUCUCUCUCUCUCUCUCUCUCUCUUUCUCACUCUCUCUCUUUAGCACAUGCUCCCUCACUCUCUCUCCGCUCAGUUGUGUCCACAGGCUCUGUUUGGGGUUUGGCUAAUUGUGAAACUAUUCUCCGGACUUGAGCUGAGAAGAGACUUUCUCUUCCCUCCAUCUCUUUUUCAUUCUAAUUAACUCCACCCUGUGCAGACCCUCAAAGAGCCUCUCUCUCUCUCUCUCUCUCUCUCCUUCCUCUCUGACUCUUCGUCUCUCUACCUCUCUCUCAGUUUUUUUUUCCCCUUCUCUCCAUCUGUCUGCCUUUGAGAGGCAAAUAAUUGGAUGUGGAGAUUGGCUUUUCUGUGGCUGAGCUGGAGGAUUGAGGCUGCGAGACACCUCACGCGCACGCACGCAGUUACACGCACACAAACACACUUGCACCUGGAGCUCUGGUCGUGUGCGCUGGUUCUAAUUGUUCAAAUGUGACUGUGUCGUUAAGAUGAGUGCUAUGAAAAAUCUCUUUCUUUUUUAAGUUUUAUAUCAGCAAAUCUGUCACUAUUUUACAUUUUUCUCCCAAAACCAACAGCCUGUGCAUCUCAGUUUACUUUCUAACUUUUCCUCCUCUGUUUGUAGCUCCUCGGGGACAGAAAUGGGAAUCAUAGUCGAGGAUUAGUUUGACUUUGAAAACGGCAAAAUAGUUUUCUCAAACAGCAGGAGACUGAAGUUAUUUUUGGAAAUGACGCAUUUAAGAUGAAAUAUUUUCAGAUGCAGGUGAAUACACAGGUACUGGACUGAGUUUAUCGAGGAUUUCGAAAAGCAUCUUGAAACAAACUGGACGAAAAUUGGCACGAAAGUGGAAAAUACGGGUCACUGAUAUGCAAAAGCCAAAUCUUAUUGACCCUCGUCCAGCUAAUAUAAACCUUUACUGAGACAAUACUUUCUCAAUGUGUCGUUUUAAACAUAUAGUCAGAUUUUUGUAGUUUGAGGAUAAUCUGAUCACACACUCCAAGCAUAUCAAACCAACAUCUAGAAAGUUUAUGAUUUCCCCUCCUCCUGACUUUCUGACAGCAACAUGGAUGAUCAUUUUUUGUAUUUCUCUCGAUUAAUCAGUUACAAACUUAAAUUUUUAUUCAGCAGAUUGAAUUAACGUAGAAAUCAGAGUAAGUAGAUGUAGACAGAGUAGGAAGUCCAAGCGGAUAUGAUGCUACAGGCAAAAACUCUCAGUCGAUGACGGAGGACCAUAGCAACCACCUCCGUGCCCACCUUCACUCAUGGAGACUCUGCUUUAUGUAAUCACUGGCUAACUACACAUUAUCUGUUACAUAGUCUCCUGCAUGCUCCUCAAUGCGAAAAAUUUCCACAUCAUCUUAUAGCUGCUUGAUAAUUCACACUCAGGAUUGAGGACACACCAAAACGCUCUGAGUGAGAGACUUUCUGAAAGGGAAGUCUGUCUCUGGAAGGCUGAGGGACUUUUAAGGAGAUUAGCGGCGGAGGUAUUUCCCCGCAGAGAGACAGAGAUGAAGAGGACGAAGAGGAGCUUCAGAGAAAAAAAAUAAAAAAAAAGACAUGAGAAGGGUUGUAAUGCUGGUGGGCUAUAGGCGGGCUGAUGGAGUGGGCAACACGCACGCAGACACGGACACUCAGACGUGAUGUAAAGCCGCUCUUUUCACUGCACUUUGUGCUCAGAGGCAGGGCGCCAAGUCUCAAGUGACUAACAGGAGACACUGUCGAGCCUUCACACUGUCCACACACUCUCACUCAACAUCCCCGUAUAAACACCUUCACACAGACACACACACACACAGACAGACACACACACAGACACACAAACAAAACUGCAGAUGGAACAAGAGGGACUCCACUCUAGGGGGACCCUUUUUCAAGUCUGUCUUUUUUUUUUCAAGCCUGUUUUUUCUUCUGCUGUAUUUCAUUAUUCACCCAGACUCUCUCUCUCUCUCUCUCUCCCUCUCUUUACUCCUCACCUUCCCGCCCAACCACACAUCUCCCUCCUCUCUCCACCUCCUCCUCCUCCUCCUUCUCCUCCUCCUCCUCCCACUACUACUAUUGCUGCUGCUUAGCUCCAUCCAGCCCGGUCUCAUUGUCCUCACACACACCUCGCCGCCUCCAAGGGGGUGUGUGAGUGUGUGUGCGCCCCUGUGUGUGCAUGUGUCUUCGUGAGGACGGGGGUGCAGCUGGUCAUUCCUUCACCACAGCAGCGCAGCUGAGCGUCGGGAUCCACUCUGAGGUGAGUGUGUGCCCUUUUUUUUUUUUUUUAGUAACACUUUUUGGAGUCUGCAUGUAUUUAUAGACACUCACUUUUGUGUGUCUGUGUGUGUGUGUGUGUUUGCUGUCUUUUCUGAGAUCAGUCACGGUUGCUGUGAGUGUGUUUAGAUUUCCGUGCAGCUGUGUGAGGUGUUCACACUCACAGGGGUCAAAGGUGCUGGUGGUGACAUUUGGAUCCCUGUGAGAUUGGAUAUAGAGCUGAGAUUGUGCCCCAGACUUUUUCAGAUUGUUGGAGAGGUUGUGAGUGACUGUGACUGUGGGUGUGUGUGAUGAUCUGUGUGUGUGUGUGUGUGUGUAGCCAGAGGGUGAGCUUGGCUAAGUCCGUACGUGCUCUGCGUACAAAUCGCUGACCACCGCUUGAGUCUAACCCUGUUAGUUCCCGCUUUAAAAGUUAACACUUUGUCCUUUCAUUUUAUCCUCUUUUUUUUUUCCUCUUCUCUAUUUCACUUUCUUCUUCUUCUAUCUUUCUGUGUCCUCAUUCUGUUUCAUUUGACUUUGCUGACUUAAUUGGCGUGCCUGCACAUUGGAAACCAAGGUGCCAAAGCCGUGAACCAAAUGCAAAUUUUCAAACAACCAGCCUACCAAUUUUAUGUGCAAAUGAUCUUUACUUCUUUUACCCUCUUUCUCUCUCUCUCUCUCACUCUCUCUCACUCUCUCUUGGCUGCACCCUCUCAGUGUUACACACAUAUAUAUUCACAAUCCGUGGCAGAUUUAAGUAUUUCCCGCGGGGUUGGGAGGGUGAACAGAAAUAGAUCUAAUUCUAAAUCAGGACAGAGCGCUCGCUCGCUCUCUCGCUCGGCUCAGGCAGCUCCGUCACCCUCCCUCCCGUUACAGCCAGCAGCUACAACACUUGCUCUCUGACAAUAAAAGUUCAAAGAUUAGCUGGAAAUUUAACUCAUAGAGUUAUGGAGUUGAAAGCUAACUAAGUCUGAGAGAGUGAUGCUGAAAUGUUGCCAAACUCCACGCAUUUUGGGCACUAUGUUGGAGUCAGGACGGGCGAGAACAAAAGGGCGUCUCAGUUUUUGGAGAUUUCAGGAGUUUGGUGGUUUUUGCAUCAACUGGGGCCAUGCCGCACAACAAAUCAUGACAAAAAUAAACACGAGAUAUUUAAGUGCCCCGUUUACUCAGUAGAAACUUGACUUUUGAGAGGUUCGGUGGGAGUUUAAGCUGUAUGGAUUUGUCUGUUCCGGCUCUUGGCUGCUACAGUAGCUGGCUGCGCUGGAGAAAGCUGCUGGAUUAGGUCUCUAAGACUGGAGUUAAGAUACAGAUCUGGAGCUGAUGAGUGCCUGUCUUUCUACCUGCCUGCCUGUCUGUGUGUGUGUGUCAGGGCUGACUUCAGAGCAGCUAUACGACAGGUCAUGGGCUGCCAGCUGCCUCCAGCAUUCCCGAUGACAGAGAGAAAGAAAGCAAUGUGAGAGAGGUAAAGGAAGAGUAGGGGGAAAGACAGACAGCGGAGCAGGUUGAAGGAAUGUGUGUGUUCAUAUGUCAAAGUGUGAGAUUGUGGUGGCAGUGCUAGAGAGAUAACGCCGGUUGGGGGUGGAGGGAAGAGGGGGGUAGGAUAAGAUGUGCUGAAGGCUGGAUAAGCAGCACCUGGCUUAAGAGGAAAAAUAAAAGAUAAGGAGGCACAAAGAGAGAUGUGGGGAUGUGAGGGUGGGGGUUGUAGAAGUGGGUGAAGCCUCCAAUAUCUGCCUACAGUCAGUCACAUUAAAACCCACUCAUCCUUUACCUAUCCGUCUCCCCCUCUUCCUCCAUCUCCCUCAACAACCGCCUUCCUCCUCUCUACCUUUCUUCUUUUUUUUUUUCUGACAAUGAGCCGACAGCAAAGAACAAAAGAAGACAUAAUACAUGCAAACCCUCCUCUCUCUGUAGUCAGGAAGGAGAGGAGGAGGAAGAAGAGGAGGAGGAGGAGAUAGGAACGAGUGAGGUAUGAGUAAGACUUAACAUGUAAGGCAAUUGCAGUGAUCAAAUUGCAUAAAGACAUAAAAAUAAAAGCAGCUGCACUGGAAAUCUUACGAGUAUGUAGCUUUAAAGGAAGGUGAAAAAGGAUGUAAUCUUUGGAAAUGAACAGUGUUGCGUAGUAACGCGUUAUUAUAAACGCCAUUAUUUCUGUAACUCCGUUUCUGUUACCAAACGCUUUUUAUCCCCCAAAGAAAAGAUAUUGAGCACAUAUUUAAUAUUUAUCAACUUUAACAAACCACUUACCAACCCCAGUCUACGCCCUCAAAUAAGGACUUUCCACUCUUAAUAGCAAAGUUAGAAGUAAUGUCUGGUAUCUUCUACCCCACUGUAACAGGAAGAAAAGACAAUUACCUGGUUGGUCUGUAUAUUUCAUGUGUCGCCAGCCUCACUCUUGCCGUGCUUGGCAUAAAUACCCAUUAGACAGGGUAGAGUACAGCCAAGUUACCUGCACUGUGGAGUUCCUGCCUGACUUGGUCUGUUUCUUUAUCCCCCUCCAAUCCCCCUCAAGGUGGUGUCAGCAGAGCAUCAAAUGACCUAUCUUAGUAUUUUGGGGGAUGUUUGGAAUUUUGUCUGAACUUGGACUUUUGAACUGCUUCAGCACUAUUUGUGCACGGUCACGGACUUUUGUUAGUUGUUGAAUGAUUGAAAAUGUUCCUGACCAAAUGCUGUUUACUCUUGCUAAAAUACAGGGGUAGUAAAUUGUCCUGAUAUUGGUGGAUCGAGAAACUGGUGGAGGACAAUGUCGAACUCAAAAUAAGGCUUUGUAGUACAGCAGUGGACUCAGUAUGUAGCCUUAGGGUGCUCAAGUGCUAGGAGGAAGGUAAGGGUGUAUCUGCCAACCAACUGUGGUUUGACUGUUUGGAAGACCAGGACCCAGACACACAGUCAGGUGACUGAUACCAGGUCCUUGAGUUUGGUGGAAAACCUGGAGACAGCUAUAGUGUUAAAUGCUCAGUUGAAGGGCUGCAGGAUUAAUCAAUUUUAAAUAAUAAUCAGUCUAUUUGAUUAUGAAGAUGUUAAAAAAAAAAUUUAAAUCACCAAAUGGAUUUUCCUCUCUGUCAUGUCACGCGCCUCCAGGCCACCAUAGGCUCCCCUGAGGGAGCACUCCCCAGCUCCCACACCCACCAGUGUAAAUAGACAUGACAUUUGCAAAGGAAGGCAAUAAUUUCGUGGCUAAAUAGGGCAAGAGCAAGUCAGUUUUGUGACACACAGCGUAACUGUUUCAUGGUGGCUGCGCAUGUCCAGCAAAAACAACCUUAAUAUGCAUGCUCUGUACUCUUCUUCUGUCUUUUGUGCAUUUCCUGUGUCGCGUUACAGCGCCACUUACUGGCUCGGCAUAUGCACUACAUUGUUUUCAGUGGUUUAGUUUUGAGAGAUGAUAGAAAAACUUUUCAUUUUUAAAGUGAAGUUUGGUGAAGUUGUCACUGAAUAAAAAAUCAAUAUUGAAAUCUAAAAUCGCGUUUUCAGAGAAAAAAAUAUCAGGAUUUAAUUUUGGCCAAAAUCGUGCAGCCCUUCUCAGUGGUAUAUACACCAACAGCAAACUAAAAUAGCUCCCUGUCUUGCUCGGAGACGAAGUGUGGUGGAUGCAUGCUGUGGUGUGUCACUUUGAUUUGCCAGGACAAGGAGAACAUUCAUGCUGGGUCCAUUUGGCUAGUUAGUAAGGAACAAAUGUGACCCCAGUUUGGGCUGUAACCUAUCAUGCAGGCAUCAGGUAUAUUCAGAGUGAUAGUGAACGGUGUUUCUACCCAUUGAUUAACCAUUGCAUCAGCUGUUUUCCUCUGCAGACAGCCUCUAAUAAAGUUGAGUUUGUUUUCCUGCACAACUUUAUUUCUAUUUUCCGCCCACACCAUUAUUUGAUUGGCCAGAUUUCACAUAGACAUGCUGUUUUCUAAUAAUCAAUAUCUGUAUUAGCCCUUAAAAAAUGAAAAAUAUUGGUGGACUUCUUUCUGAAAUAUGAAAUUUUCCAUUCACUCAAAUAAAUUGACCAUUUUUCCUUUAACUUUAAAUCACUGUCUUGGAUUAAAAACAAAAACAUAUACUCUUCAUCUCGCUCUUGCUUGCUUACUCUAAGGGUUUGUAUAUCAGCACACAACCCUUUUUGCCAAUAGUUUCAGUUCUUGUUCACAGUUUUCUCACUAAGUUUUAACAUUUACUUAGUUCAGCAUCCACAUUUAUUCUUUAUUCUUUUAGAAAAGGCAAGCAGUGUGAAUUACUCUGCAAUCAGGUAUACUGUGCUCAAUGUACAGUGUUUCACCCACACCUGCAGUUGGCAGCUGAUGGGUGAAGUGUAAGUGCGGGGAGCACAGACUCUAUUAACAUUGCAGCUAGCUACUAACAGUAUAGUUACAGCAGCAGAGGUGUCGAACCGCCCCGUUGCUUUUCUUUGUAGUCGUAUUUUUUCUUUGAUUCAAGUUUUUCUUGUGGCUCUGUUUUCUGUUCUCACAAGGAUAUUUCAAGAACUGUUUGCUAUUUUUAUGUGUCGCAGAUGCUCAAUCAGUCAAACUCACCCAUGAGGCACUGUAAGAAACUUUAAGAUUGUGUUGAUUCUGGGGACCCUGGUGAUCAGACGUCCCAGUUUAAAGUUAUAGGUGACCUUAGAAAUGUCUGAAUUUCUUAAAAAGUGCACACAUUACAACAUUUGUGUCUCAAUAUAGCAGCAGAGUCCCCCCAUGAUGGUAUAAGCAUCAAAUCCUGUUCGCAGCCAUUUUCCUUUUCGACCUGAUAAAGCCCCUAUUAUAGAGUUUAUCCACCUGUAACAAUUAGAGAGUCAUUAUAUUAUCAGAAUUAUCUGUAGUAGUAAAAAAAUUAAAAAGUUAAUUAUCUGUAUUUGCAGAAAUGAAGAUUUCUGAAGGAGUAAUUAAUAAACAAAAAGGUGAUGUAUUGAGUAUGCGCACAGCGUGACAGCUUACAAAUGCUGUUCUUGUUUUAUGAAGGUCUAAAACAAACAGACUGUAACAGCGAGAGUAAAUUCUAUUAAAGGAGUAACUUUUCUUACAAUGAAAGAAAGGUACGUGUAUCGGUAUUGUUAUCAGCCCUGCUCCAGCCUCACUUUUAUAGAGAAAGAAAAACUCCUCUUCGUGUUGGCUUCCUUUUCACUGCCAUACUUAUCAGCUGGACCUAGACACCAAAGUUCAGCAUAAAGACUUAACAGUUGUUGUUGUUGUCGUUAGCCCAAUUUUACUAUGUAGGUCAUGAGGAGGCAUCAGUGUGUCAGUGCCUGUAAAAAAACUCCUUACAGUGCCUUUAAGAGUCCUGGUACUUAUGUGGAUAAAAUUCUGAAGGCUCUCUGCAACAGCUCAGUGCACUUUUUGCAAAGAAUCAACAGUGUAGCCUCAUGAUAAUGAACAACGCAAAAUGAGUUUGAUAUAGUUUGAAUUGUGUCACAGUAUUUAAAUGUUUUUGUGAAAAGCCGAAGAGUGAUUAUCCGUUGUAAAUGAUCAUUAUUGUGUCCGUCAUUUCAAGUUUAAUCUUCAUUCAUAUGUGGACACCAGUGUUCCUGAGCCUCUUCCUGUGGCUGGACUUACUUAUUCAGCCUAUUUGAUAAUUAAUGGCUGCUGUGUAUUAAACGUUUUACAGACCCCAUACACACUCACAGUAAUCGCACCGUGGCAGUGAUUGUAGCUGUGCUAAUUAAAGGAGUGUUAGCAGUGAGUGAAUAAAACAUGCAUCAAUCCCUCUUCCCUCCAUUUCAUCCCCCCAUCCUCCUUUUUCUCUCCUGUAUUUAUUUUCUCCCUCCACAUUUACUUCUCUCUAUUCUAUCAGUUUUUCUUCUUUUGUUCUUCUAAUCACUCUCCACUCAUUUUCCCUCUCCCCCUUCUGUUUUUCCUUUUCUUCUCCUUCCUCUGUUUUUCAUUUCUUUUCUUCCAUCUUCUUCCCCUGUUUCCUCCUUUAUCACUGUCCCUCUCUUCCUACUCUUCACCUCCAUCCUCCUCUCCUCUGCCUCCUCAUUCAUUCCCCAGAGAUGAACCAAUGUGUGCAAGCUGUUGCAACAAGGGCAACUCUGGCGUAGAUAGAGCUGGUCUAAACGUGUGCGUAUGUGUGUGUGUAUGUGUGUGUGAGCACUGAGACACUUGGAAACACACUUUUAGGCACACACACACACGCACACACACACACACACACACACACACACACACACACACACACACACACACACACACACACACACACACGUGCCUUGUAGACACUGCAGGUGCUGCAUCAAGAUAAAUGAGCUGUCAUUAGCCAAUCAGGUCAGCCAGUGGGAGGGCGAUAGAAAACCAAGGAAGGAGAUCAGCUUGUGGAGGUCAAGCCUCUGACAGGGAAGAUGUGUGUGUAUGUUAGUGUGUGUGUGUGAUUCUGUGAGUGUGUGUUUGUAAAAAAGUGUGUAUCUAUGAGUGUUUUGCUCUGGGAGGUUGAGAAGGAGGAUUUCCUGAUUAGAUCUGAGCUCUCACAAAGUUUUCUUCUUCUCCUCGCAGCUCAACCUUUCCCUUGCCUCCUUCCUUCCUCCAUGGCUGUUUAUUCUUUCUUUUCCCAUCAGCGCUCCUCUGGGAAGUGGGGGAGUGUUGGAGAUUGUUGAGCUGCUGUUUGACGGCCUAAUUGCUAUCUCCAGUCUGUUGUUUAUCUCUUUAUCGGUGAAUCCUCCAAGUGAAGGAGACAGAGGUUGAGGAGGAAUUAAAAGUGUUUCAGAAAUGUAUUUCCAGCUUUGGGAUUUCUGCUUGAGGAAAAGGUAAAUGUCACGUUAGCUCUUCUCCGGGGAAAACUCUAUGAAACCAAUUAGGGGAAAAAAAGUUACACUGGCAUAUAUUCUCAUUACGGCACAAUCAUCAAUCAAUGUGAGCGUGUGAAAGUGUGCAUUUGCCUUGUUACAUUUAUACCUAAGGCUAAUGCAAGUGGAUUUAUGCAUAAGGUGCUCGUUCUCACAGCCAAGGUACUGCUGGGAAGGAGGAAGGUAAAUGAUUAACCCCCCAGAAAAAUCCUAAUCUCCUUGAUUCUCCUCCUCUCUCUAUGAAUGUGUGUGUGUGUGUGUGUGUGUGUGUGUGUGUGUGUGUGUGUGCGUGUGUGUGUGUGUGUGUGUGUGUGUGUGUGUGUGUGUAGGGGGCUUUCAGGAUGGCCGCUGGCUUUCUUUGAUCACUAAUCCAUUCUCUGGCCUGACUUUCUGUCCCUGGUUCUUUUUUUCCUCUGCCCAUCUCUCCGCUCUUCUCUCAUCUCCUCUCCCGCUCUCGCCCGUUGCCAUGUCUGCAUUGUGAGCAGCUUACAGGCAAAUAUCUAGGCCAGGGUGCCCUCUCUCUCCCUCUCUCUCUCUCUCUCUCUCUCUCUGUCCCUCUCUCUCUCUUUCUCUUUCUGAUUCAAUCGCCCUCCCUCUGCUUCUCACUCCUGCUUAACUAUUCUCUGUUUUCUUGAAUGUUUCAAAGACAGAUUUGGAUUUUAACAAGUCUAUUUUUGUGCCACUCUAGUGAGUUUUUGGUCGCAGUAAUCCCUCCAUCUGUAGAGGGAAUCCAAAAAAAGCAAAAGUAGUUUGCAAGGCAUUGCAAUUUGCAGGGGUGACUCUACUAAGUAAGAUUAAAAUGUUGUUUCUAAAUCUACAAAUUCAUGCUUAUCUGUAUUCUGUACGACAGACUUAAUCUGCAAAAAAACUGAGCAAGGCUGGAGGUUACAAUCACUGUUUGCUUAAAUCUGUUAAAACACACAGUACAUACAUAGUGGACAUAUCGUACGAGCUAGCGACGUUAAGUCGACUGUGGUUAGGAAGCUUUCAGCAAACACAGACUGUCAAAAUUAACUCUUGCAGUACAGUUGUACCAACGACAACAAUAAACAUCGUGUAAACGACCCUUUGCAGUUUAAAAAAAUAAAAAUAGUUGGUGUGAAAAAAUGUUCGCACAACAAUUUAGAAAGUCAAGUUAGCUUGACAUUUAGAGUAGAUGCAGUUUUCUUCACAAAAAAAAAAUCCCUGUUUGGGUUUUGAUUUUUGUGUGGCUGUAAGAUAACAGUUGUAUAGACAAUAAACUAAACCUGGGCAAAAAAAACACUUCAGUCAGUACUAGGGAAGGGGGAAAUGGGCUAAAAAAUUUAUCACGUUAAGAGUUGCUAUUCUGGCAAUAACAAUAAAAGUCUAGAUUAUUAAAGGACUAUUAUAAUGAUUAUUAAAGGACUAUUAUAAUUCCAGUCUAUAUUUUUGACUCAUUUUGUCUUGAGAACACCAGUUGGAAUAGUCAAAUAAGAUACUUAACCACAAGUUUGAGUGGUAGGUUAUAGAGAAAACUAAUGACAACAAACAAGUCUCAAAUGUGAAAACUCUUAUUGCACAGAGUGAACAGCAGCAGAUCCACUGUCAGAUGUCAGGCAUACCUGAUUGCACUCAUCUGAACCACAGUCUUGAAGGAAAUCCCUCAUGUGGAGCCUCGUUCAGUAACAAACUGCUCAGAAACGUCUUCUUCAUUACCUUCAGCCAUGUUUGUUUGUCAUUCUGCUCUGUGUGGGUUAUGGCCGCGAGUCCGUCACUCACGCUUAUGUCAUCAACUUGUAUUUAUUAGUAUUUAUCAUGAGAUGGCAAAUAUCUAUCAUCGAGGAUUUUUCUGACGAUAUAUCAUGAAGGAUAACUUAUCGCCCAUCCCUCAUCAGUGUCACUAACUACUAUAAAGUAUUACUAAGGUGUACUUAGUAAUACGGCUCUGCUUAGAAAGCACCCUGCCCCUCCACAUGCACUUGUGGGACGCCAAAGCCUGAGGUAUGGAGGGCGAGGCCCCUUCUGUUUGUACAUACAUGAAAGACCAAGGCAGGGAGAGCAGCAGCAAAGACCCCUGAGGUACAGAGCAGACAGUAUUUAUGACAAUGGUAAAAUCAGACGGCAUAUCAAUGAGGAGCUCCAGUGGGCAAGGAGACAAAAUGCAAGCAGGCUAAACCAGAACAUCCAUAUUAGGAUCAGCUGAUGUAGACUAUGAUACCAUGCCGUGCUAAAUCCAGCUAUUAGCUUUAGCUUAAAGAUACGGCAUGUACAAAUGGAAAUAUGUUUUCUGGCUGUCAGAACCUGGAUUAAAAUGCUCUUUUGGUUGUAGUUCAUGCUGACUACCUCUUGUGAUGCAUCGUCAUAGUUUAGCAAGGCACACGGAGCUACUGUAAGUUAAAGGCAUCAGUCAGGACACCAUUGAACCUAAAGGUUAAUGCUGUCAGCUAGUGCAGAUCGAUACUGAAAUAUCGAUACUUCCAAUACCAGGUCUGUAUGCUCAAAAAUUGAUUCUCAAAUGAAAAUAUCGAUACUUUUGAUACUUCAGUCAUUUGUGGUAAUGUACGUAUAUUAUUAACAGGAACACAGUGGAAAGUAACUCAACUAUUGACAUCUUGUCUAAAUGACACGCAGUUGGUAGAAACUACGUUUUCUUCCACCUGGGUAAGUGAAUAAUACGUAAUCUGCUGCUCACUCAACAGUCUCUCUCAGUCUGUGUAGAGUCAAUGGUGGAGAGGAAAAGGAGUCAUGUGUUGAGCUAUUUCAGCCCCACAAACAGCGAAGACACAGUCUGUGAAAUCUGUGGGAAAUUAUAUUAUAAAUAAAUAAAAAUAAUUAUAUAAAUAAUAUUUUGUUUACUAUUUUCUUAUCAUUUUAAAGGUUUUAUUAUUUUACUCAUGUUAAUUUUUUGUGUGUUUGAAACACCAUUUUCAUAUGUUUCGUAUAAUUGUGUCCUCUGUUGUUUUUUUCUGUUGUAUUAGCUUGGCUUUAUUGUAAGUGAGGCUGCUACCUCAAUAUACUUCAGAGUCUAAAAUAAAUAGAUCAGUUACAGUUACUCUGAUGGCUUGUAUCUUUAGGAAGCUAUGAUUUGAAAUACGCUUUUUAAUUUUUUUUUCCUUAGAUUUACCAGGCUCUUAAGUGUAUUUUCACAAAGUAUUGGUAUCGCCGAUAUUAACCUGAAAUUUGUGGUAUCGAACAUCUCUAAUGUCAACUCAAACUAGUUAGAGUGAUUAUGAUCUAGAGCCGGUUUUUGAUUCCCAUCCCUGCCAGUGUGUUACGGGACCUGCUUCUAUAAAGAAAGAAAAGGCUCAUUUAAGUUAACAGAAACCAAACAGUUUGGGUUUUUUGGUCGUUAUACAUUGAUUUAACAUGCACAUAUUAUUGUUUUCUGUUCUGUUAAAUGCUGCUGAACACUUGACUUCAGCAUGGACUGAGGUGUAUUAUUUCUUUGAGUUUCAGAAACUUUCUCAGAAUAAUGCCAGAGACAGUAAAUCUUUAACCUACAUAUGGAGUGUGAGUACUGUGAUAAGAGGGUCUGUGAAAAAUGGAGCAAAUUCUUUUUAUAGAAUUUUGCUUGGCUUAACAUCCUUCCGUGUUCACCCAUCUUUAUUGCUUUCUCUCUUCUAUUUCCUCCACAUUCACCCUCCUCCCUUAUUUCUGUUCAUCUGCCUUUCUCUCCACCUCUCUCUCUUUCUGAGAUCACUGUGACCUUUCUGUCUUUUUUGCUCUAGCUUCCCCUCUCCUGUCUAUUUUUUCACCCUUCAAUUUCAGGUAAUCUGUCCGACCAGCUGAGGCGAGAAAUCUCUGGGCUGCAGUGUACACAUCAACACACAUACCCUGUCUCACUCUGUGUCUCUCACACAGUUCAUAGCCUCUCUAAGGCUCCUGCCAAUGCCUCACAGAAUUAUAAUUUAGCCUGUUCACAACUUCAUAGAGAAGCUCAAUGCUCGACCAGACUGUUGUUGUGCGAGUGAGACCUGGUAAUUCCUCUGCUCUUUGCCCGGGUCUUGUUAAGCCUUUUUCCCUGGUGGGAACCAGCGUGUUAUAAUCAACGUAGCUCCAGUCCACUUCAGGAGGAUCUCUUUGGCUCUUUGUACUCCUGGAUCCAAGAGCCAACUUAUAGAGUGUAAACUAAAUGCCUCCUUUAUUGUUGCAAAUUUACUCCAAAUUCCUAAAAUAGCUGUUCACAUUGACUAAACCAACGAGUCUUCAUCUGUAUCCAAAAUAUAAGAACAAAUAACAGGCAGAUAACCACAUGUAGCUUUAUUGUGGGUGUGGUCAGGAGGUAAGACAGCUUUGAAGCAGGUGUGGGCUUGAACAAAUUCUUGCAUCUCCGUCCAACCUUGGCAGCGUUUAAAGCAAAAGAAAAUCCUUUGUAUCUCAAGCGAAAUGGUUUCACUGGGAGGCAGAACCAAACGACUUCUAUUGCAAGUGCCAGGCACAAUAUACUGUGUCUAACAGGGACUACACUUUAUUAUAAGUGUAGCCAGUGGUUCUACAAGCAAUAAAAGACCAGUCCAAUAAGCCCCUAAUUCAAAGCAAUGACUUGUGAAGUGUUGUUGUGAGUAUACAGACUCACAAAUCAGUGAGUCGGCAGGCUUUUGUUUUAGACAAGACCUGAUCGAACUGAAUUAAUCACUCAGCAGAGAGGCAAUUAUCUGCUAUUCUUCUUCAAAAUCAUUCAUUUCAAAAACAAGUCCAAACAUUUGCCCACCUGCAAAUGCCGUAUUUUUAUUUUGUAAAACAGGGAUGGAUUCUUACCGAACACAAAUCCCAGAGCCUUUCAGCAAACAGAUGACUAAAUAUUUCAGCCUGUAGGAGCGACAGCUGAUCCUUUAAGGUGAUGAAAGUGAUAAAGGACCUGAACCAAAUGCAUUACUUUUACUCACCAUUAUUAGUACUUCAACAAGCAACCUGAGGAGCAAGAAUGAAGUUGGUGUUCAAUUCAUCAACAUAUCAGCUAGUUCAUGUUUAUAUUGUACUAAAUAAUAAUGAACAUUAUCUCAGGAUACUUUACAAAAAGAGCAGGUGUCAUUUUAAGAGCCUCGACAUGAGUGUGUUUAGAAACUAAUCUUAACAGCUACCUGAACAUUGAUGCAAUUAUGGACAUGAAUCAAUAUUACAUGAAUGCUGAAGGGUCCUAGGAUUGCAUUACAGAGCAGGGAUAAAAUAUGGAUACAGUAAUAUAUGGUGGUCCUGACCCAUGUGAUUUAAUUAUUGAUAGGCUGGUGCAAAAUAUCAAUAAUUUAAAUGAAAAAACGACAACACUCUCAAUAAAUUUCCUUGACAGUUUGAAUGCUGCGUCACUGCUCCAUGACUCCAUACAGUCAGGCGUCUGACAUGAAUGAAUGUUAAGGGACCAUGGUUGAGGGAGAAGUUGAAAUGGAGCCAGAUCAGGGCAUGCAUGAAUUUAGUAAAAAUAAAUCUCACUUCACUGCUCCCUUCAAUAGUUGUAACUGUUUCGCUUGUUUUAAUGAUCGGAUCCAUUUGACUGAAUGGAAGAGAUCUGUACAGAUCAGAUCGGCUACCACCAAAUCUUGUGCCGAACAACGGACUACUACUCUAAAAGCUAAUGGAGCUAACAGCAGCACCAGGACAAGCAGUCCAGUGUUUUAGUGCUUACCUGUAGCUUCCAGGUCAGUAUGCGUCUGAGAGGACGAAAGUUGGUAGCCGCCACAUUAGGACUGGGUGAUUAUAUGAUUGUGAUCGAUGAUUGUGAUAAAUUUCAGUUCGAUCACCGUGAUCAGCUGUGAGCAUAUUUACUCGGUCAAACAUGGCAGAAAUGUGCGUCACAACAGCCAAUCAGAGUCGAGCUUUUUCUGCUCACUUCUAUAAGUUAUCGGAGAAGUAAACAGAAUGACCGAACAUGGAGCUAAACGCUGAGGGCAGCCGUGACUUUGAGUCAUAUCGUGAUCUUGUUUUUUGCCAAAUCGCCCAGGCCUACGCCACAUGCUCUUACCUUUCCCAAGAUGGGCAUACCCAGUUGUUAUCAACUUUUUUAACCGUCACAGAACCGCCUCAAAAGUUAUUUCCUGCCAGUUUACCUCAGUAGCUUACCUGAAAAACAAUGGUGGGAAAUUAGCGAAUCUCCUUUUGCACUUAAUGGCAUGUAAUGGCAACUGCCAUCAGGUUACUGUUUUUUUUUUUUUUUGUUUGUUUGUUUGUUUGGCUGGCCGGGAGACGUUUGAUGAGCUGGGACAUUGGAGCAUGUAAUCAGCUAUUGGGCCAGUGCCCUUGAGACGUUACAGACUUGAGGCCGGCGUCAGCAAGACAUAUGUAUGCUAUCUGGGUACCAACUCCAAGUCUUAUGUUUUAAACAGAGAUAAAUGAAAAACAAAUUAAGAUGAAAUAAUUUGUUAAAGAUUAAAACAUAUUGACAUGAAUGAUGGACUAAAGUAGACUUGGAAAACGGGUAUUUUCCUCAACUUAGUGUGACCAAAUGGACAUAUCAAUGUGGAGUGUGGAGCCAUGCUGGAAAGCGGGCAGAUAUAUUCAGGAGCAGGUGUAGAGGUUGUGUGUGUGUAUAUGUGUGUGUGUGUUUUGGUGUAUGUGUGUAUUGGGAGGACAAGCACAAAGCAUUGGCCUGUGGAGAGGAGAGAAAGCUCCUGUGUGUUUCAUAGUCAAUAGGCGCUUUGUUCACUGGGACAGGCGGACAGUCAGCCAAAGGGACAUACUAAGACUCCAAUGUACUGUAGUGUACCUGAAUCUACACCCCCCACAAGCACAGGUGCAAAUACACUGUUUAAGUACUAAAGUCCAACUGGUCACCAACAAUCUCCAGCAGUUUUCCAUCAGUCUUUUCCUUCCACAUUCUCCUCUUUGCUCCCCAUUUUCUGUCACCUUCUAUGCGUCCAUCCACCAACUCCAACGGUUUCCAUUUUUUUUUAAUCCAACCAUUUUCCCUGCAAGGGGGUGGGGGAUGGGGGGUCUUGCCAGGACAGAGGGCAUUUUGUGUUGGACGAGGAAAGAAAAGGAGAAAGAGAGAGUCGGUUGGGGGGAUAGAAUUCAUAUGAAGGGGGGCAGGAAUGCUGCAGACACACAGGUAAAGGCUUUGUGCAGGUACCACAAAGAAGUGCAGGAAUCCAGGACGCACACUGGGUCUGAUGUCCAUGUGAUGGUAAAGAAGUAGGACUGGGGCCUGAAGCCAGAAAACAGCAACAUCCUGAAGACAGGAAAAAAGAGAAAGAGCUGUCUGUGCGUUUCAGCAGAUCCUAUAACUGGCAUGGAAACUCUCCUUUGGGCCGCGUGAUGAUAAAAAUAAGGGAGCUGAGGGGAGUGAAGGAUUGCUGAUAAGACGAUGUAAGUAAAUUUAGCUUUUUUUUCUAGAUUUCGUCUUUUAAAUGUAAACGGUAAAUGUUCAAACAGCCAGAGAAAAGCUGCAUGAAAGUUAUUGCUUUGGGGUUUGAAACGUUUAGGGCCACUGCAGAGUCGAACACAGGGCGUUAUUCAGCAGUUACAGCUGGUUACUGACGGUUUUAUGGCGAGUGUUUGAGAUGCGAAGUUUCUCAGUGACUACUUUAACUCAGACACAUGUUAGCAUGCGUCAUACUCACAUUUAGCGUUUCUGCUGUGUGUGUGACGUGUGUGUGUGUGUUUCUAAAGGCAGGGGUGGCAUAAAUAAUGGAUAAAGGUCUAAUAAGCUUUCUGUGGACCGUCUCUAGGCUGUUGACCACUGGGAUCAGCAUUAGGAUUCUGUCACUCAAACUCAAAGGCACAAAACUCAGCUUAUCUACUGCUAUAUGCGCACACACACAAGUUCCAGUGUGUCCACGUAGACGCGCUCAUGCCCAGACGUUCUCACGCACACCAGCAAACACUGAUCGCCUUAUCUCUUGGUCCAAACAAGAAGAUAACAAAUAAACCACAUUGUCUGUUUCCACAGAGGAUCUCGAUAAGACACAAAUCAGCUUACACACACAUACGCAGACAAACAUGCACACACAAAAAUAUAUACAGGCCUAUACAAGGAAACAGUGCAGGGAUGAGGCUGACAAAAACUCUCUAAAAAGCAGGAUGGAUGACUUUGACAUUAAUCCCGCCUGCUUCAAACUCUCUUUGUGUCCCUCUCUGGCUUUAUUCUCAAACCUUGCUUUUAUCUCUUAUUUUGUCUUAUCUUCACAUGUUUUUCCAGCCCUCUGACUUUCCCACUCCAGUGCUUGUUGCUUUAGCAGAUUGGGUCCCAAUCUGUAAAGUAGCUCUUUUGUUAACGGACGCUGAUAUACUGAGAUUUCACAUUCAUGAUCGGUCAUUGGCAGACUGGGAAAUAUGUGGUUUUACAUCUUUUAUUUUCUAAGAAAAGAUUUUUGGAGAUGAUUUAGUUUCUUACCAGCAGUAGGAUAAAAAUAUUCUCACUGUUGUACCCAAAAUAUAAAGAUUUAGUCACUAACCAGGUAGAAUAGCCAGCACACAGCUGUUCUGGCUUCGUUCUAAGCUAAAGCCUGAUUUAAAAUUCUGCAUCAAACCUACGUCAUACAUUUUAUUAGCUCUGUUCCUGUGCAGAAGCCCACAGGUGUGAUCAUACACACCCUUAUCUUUUUAUAAUUAUGAAAUGGUGACAUUAUUUGUCAUCCAGUAAUAUAAAAGACCAUUGUGCAAAUUACGAAAGAUAACGGACUAAAGUUUUGAAGGUUCAAGGACAAAGCAAAACAAAACUGCAACAUUUUGAUAAUAACAUUAAAAAUCAAAUGCCUGGGUGUUCAUACUUGGUGCAAACCACAGACUGUAUAUACUAUUGACAACUUGGCUCCGUCUUCCGUCAUUACACAUAUUUGAAGCCGAAUUGCUCUCGGUAUUUGCGAAAUGUUCUCCACUUCCUGGAACCACCACUUGCGCAGUACCGUUGUACGCAUUCAGCAAAAGAGCCACUGUGAUGAUGCUCUGCUCAAACAACUUAUCCCCUGGGUGAGCUACGCAAACUUUGUGCGCCCAUAGGCUGUAUCAAGUGUCAAUCAUACAAAACAUGAACCCCCUACUAAUAACUUUUAAAAAUGGAGCUGCACAGAAAAAAGAGGACUUGAGCACAAACCAGUCUUACAGUAACUACAUGUCAACAUCACAACCAGGGGGGAGAAAAAAUUAUAUUCCGUGUAAAAAGAUUCUAAAGUUUGUCCACAGCUCCAUAGGGAUUGCUGGAGGAGGCGGGAUUUAUGACCUAUACCAGAGGUUGCCCAUCAUCAGAGGGCGCUGUUCUCUGGGUGGCUUUACACAGCGAAGAGGCAGACAGUGUCCAUUCUAUAUACAGUCUAUGGUGCAGACAAAUAAUGUGAGAAAGUUGCUUUGUAUAAAUAUUACUUAUAAUAUCGGCCUAAUAGGAACUUCAUCAAUUAAAAAAUCAACUGGGAAGAUUUAUAUAAUGAGGCAGAAAUAUACCCAAUGAUCGAAAAGUCAAUGUUUGGUGGCAAAGGAUUACCCAGAAACGGCUUCAUUUCACACACAGUUUAAAAUGCACUUUAAGGGCCCUAAUUAGUUUAAAGCUAAUGGCGCAAAGUGAAAAAAUGGUCCCAUUAUGUUUUCCUUUUUAAGCAGCAAACAGUCUGGGUGCUGACUUAGACACAGAGUUGUAUUGAGUUCCUUAAUUAUUGUGUUUGUCAAGCAUAACAUGAAUCAGACCAAUCAGAGUGUCUGCUCUCAUUCGCUGUAGGAGUCAUGUGUGACUGCAGACAGGCUCACCACUGUUGACAAAGUGGAUUUCAACCUUUCUACUUGAAUACAAGAAUAUCAAAUCACGAUGAUGAUUAAACUCCCUCACUGGUGUCCAGGAAUCCCCAGAUCCAGAUCCAGGAGAUAUUCACUGUGAAGUGUAACCUUUGAAACUGCAGUGGCUUGUUUUCUUCUGUCAUCAUGACAGCAGGUGUGCAGAAAGGGACAAAAAAAAAGCACUCAGACAUUAACUACAUCAAAGUUAACAUUAAAAUACUGACUGGUAUUAACACAAAAAAAACAGCCACUGCUUUGAGGACUGAAAACCUCCACUGAAGCCCAGCACAGUUCAAUGACAGCAUGUCUCUCAGCUCGAUAGAGCAGAAUAAGACAACACACCAUUCAGUGUUGGCAAUACUUGGGCAUAUCGCCGCCUGGAAAUAAAUUAUUUAAUAAGUGAAAGUUAAACUUUCAUGACUCCCCUUUUUCCCUCGGCCAAUAUAACCAAAGAUAUUGGUCUUUGCCCACACUGGAUCCCACCCUGGUUGGUCCAUGCACGGUGCUACGCUCCUCUCAGGCCUGUGGCUUUUCAUUUAUGUGUGUAUUUGUAGAUGCACGUGGGCUGCUUUGCCUCCCUCUCUCUGCUCUCUGUUAACGUUGACUCAUCCAUUUUCAGCCAGUUAAUAAUUCAGAGGGUCUGCAGGCUGUGUUUUCAUCUGUCUCAUCUCUGCACUCGCCUGUGAAAGAACCCCGAGUAAUUACACACCACCAAAACAAGACACCAACUCCUGAUGGCCAGCAGCGUGGUUGGGGAUGGAGGGUGAGCGAGCAAGGGGGUGAUAGAAGCAGAUUGGGAUGAAGAAGAGGAAGGAAAGCGGGUGAGAGGGAGACGAGGAGGGAUGGGAGGGCAGGAGGGGAGGGAUUGGAGGAUACAGAGCAGACAAGAAGGAUACACAGUGGAGAGAGGUGUCUCAGCACUGUUGUAAAUCCUCUGCAGGGCCUUGUAAGCUGUCAGGCAAGCUGAAGGUGUUAGAAGCAUGGAGUAAGGGGGCUGCACACACACACACACUCACACUCACAGGGACACACACGAAUCUGCGCGGGGAGAGAAGUUUACUCUUCUAAUCACUGGCUCGCUGCUGUGUUUUAUGGCUUUCUAUUCCUAUGUGAUUUUCUCUGGCAUGUCACAUAGGGUCUAAAGCCAUUGGGUACAGAGUGGGAGAUCUGCAGAUGAGUAUUAGAUGGAUAUAGGGAGUGACACCGGAGGGAUGAAAGCAGCACACACACCGAGGUUUAACAGCAUAUAUGUACACUCACUCACACACACAUAUACACGGCAUAGCCUGAGGCCUUUUUGUCUCUGCUUGCAGGCAGCACCGGGCUGGCUCAGCUAAUUGCCCCCAUAUGAGACAGGUUGAUAUGUAUCAGUCCCUGAAGCCACACACACACACACACACACUCACGAAAACAUGCACUUUAUGUUUUGUCUUCACCUGGGUUUUUGUCACCACUAUCCCCAACUUGCAUUACGCCCACUCCACUCACACACACACACACACACACACACAGGAUACACACUCCCCAGCGAGACCUGCUGGUGUUGCUGACUCAGGUUGGUAUUUAAUGAAGCUCUCAGUUUCACCCCGCGUCUACUAAUCUCAGCGCUCUUUUCUGAUUGGCCGCCAGCACAUGAGCGAAAAAUGUUAACGUUGGGAGUUUAGCUGUGCGUGUGUGUGUGUUUGUGUGUGUUUGUGUGUUCAAGAAGGAAGGAGACAGUGGCUGAGGAGCAAACAGGCUUGUGUAGAGAAAAAAAACAGAAGUGUAAUUGUUCAGGAGUUUUUAUUCCUGUUAAGUGACAUUGCUUGAUCGACCACUGAGCUGAUCCCACUGCAGUGUGUGUGCGUGUGUGUGUGUCGGUUUCUCUGCAUUAAGUUUUUUGCUGAGAGCACAAAAAAAUGUGAGAGACAGAGACAUUCACAUACAGAAAUACCUUAAGGGGCAUAUCAACAGCUGUUCACUGUAAGUUUUCUUAGAUUACACCUGUUUUCUGCCUCCACUGCAGGUCUGUGACUAACAAAAUGUACUAUAAUAUACACUUCACUUUUGACGCUGUACAGUUACAGGAGCAUCUUUAUGGGGCGCUCACACCAAACGCUAGUAAAGUCAUCUACUCCCUUAAUUCACACAAAUCCAGACACGUGAAUGAAUAGUAUUAACUCACUUCAUUCACGCGUCAACAGUAAUUUCAACGGUAAUCCCUGCCAAUUCUGUUCCCAUUCAGAUCAAGUGAUAGGCAAAGGUUGUUUAUAAUUUACCAGGUAAUCUGACCUCCUCACACAGGAUGACACAGUUGAAGUCUCCUGAUAUGAUUACAACUGCCUCAGGAUGUUGAGUCUGUAUCCUAGCAACAGUAUCAUGGAGAAUACAUGUAUUUUUAUGAUAUGACUGAGCUCCCUUAGAACAUAAUAUGGCCAAAGAGCAACUGUCAAUAUCUGGAGAACAAAGCUUCUCCUUGACAGUUAUGUGUGAAGAGUUACACCAUCUCUGGUUGACAAAUAAAGCCAGACCUCCUCCUUUCUUCUUGCCACUAGCUGGAGCAUCUCUGUCUGACCUUAUGAGAGUGAAGCCAGGUAGAUCCACACUGGAGUUGGAGUUGUUUUGAUUCAACCAGGUUUUAGUUAGGGUGACUAUAUUCUGAAUCCCCCAAAAAGAGGACACGACUACAUGGGGGGCGGAGUCACAGAAACACACGUAGUAAAUUUGGGGAGUUUUUCGGAUUGGGUUGAGUGUUUUUUACACGCCUCUAACUCAGUAAGUCCGCGCGACAUAAACUCAAAACUUCCAUGCAAAACCCCGGACAUUUGAAGGAUUUUAUAAAUUCCCCUGGACAAGGCCGGACAAGUCAGACAGCCCCCCAAAGAGAGGACAUGUCUGGGGAAAAGAGGACGUAUGGUCCCCCUAUUUUAGUAAAACACAGGAGACUGCACUCCUAGUAAGCUUCCUGAGUUAUCACUAGUACCUCCAGCUCAUCACUUUUGUUGAGCAGAGAGUUGACUUUUCCCAUGAUGCUGAUGGAAGAAAGGAAUCUCCACCUCCUAGCCUUCAACACUGCCUUCACCUUUACACCAGCACGGCAACCACGAUAACACCUCCUAAUGUCCUCUGGUAUUGGAUGUUGUUGUCCAGAUUUACUCUGACUCAAUGAAAGAAACAAAAGAGGUUCUUUUCUUGAUUAAACUCUUUUCCCAGGAGAAAUAUCCAUCAGCAGACAAAAAUAAAUUAAAAAAUAGAGCAAAAAUUUUCAUACAAUAAAAGACAUUGAGUAACCUCUUGGUUAAAGUACAUCAUUCUAAAUAUGGGUUGUCUGAGAUUGGGGGCCGGCGUGGUUCUGUCUAAUAAGUAAAUAUCACACCAACCCUCAAUUUCCACCACAUCUGGAAUGGCGGCGAAAGGGACGUCUGCACCAAUCACAACUGGAUUGUGUUUCCAUUCAAGUUGAUGUGUCAAUUUCCACCGGCUUCCUUCCGUCCUGCUGUUCAGCGGGGUUUGCAGCCAAUUGCCAGGGUUCUAUUUUUUUCCGGACGGCGCAGCAAGCUGCAUAAAUUCAGCACAGAUUAGCCCGUGCUGGAAAGGAAGUUUGGCAUAGAUACAAAAUAAAACAUCCUGCUUCUUUUCAAAAUAAAACACUACAUGUUGCAAGAAGAUCUUAUUUCACACCAUACAAAUGUAGGCGGGGAUGAACAAGUCAAAAGUUCUCAGACAUCAUUUCACCCCGUUGACACCAUGGAUGAGGAGAUGCUGAUUCUAGAAGUCUAGUAGUGGAUUUCCUCCUCUGGAAGGACACAAUCUAUUGCUUUUAUGGUUAUAUGGCUAUGUUUAUAGAGACAACUCAUUAUCGCACGAUUGCAUGUGAAUCCACGGGUUCUUGUGAGUUCUUGAGAUUCCCGCUGUCUGAAAUCCACCACCAAAUUCGCCUUACAAACGGAUCUGGUAGGAAUUGGCAGAUGGCGAAAAUUGGCGCUGUUCUGAAGCGAAGCCGUUCCGGAUGGAGUAAAAAUUGGGGGUUAGAAUGAAAUCAGUCCUUAAAGCUGCCGCAUGCUCAGUCCUUGGAGGCGUUUUAGCUGGAAGCACUCACCAUCCAGUGUAAAAAUGCAACUUCUGCACACUUAAUUAUAUUUUAUACUUAAGGCAAGUCCCAUAGGCAAUUCAAAUGAAGCCAAGUAAGGCAAAAUCACUUCUUCAUAGUUGCGAAAACCUCAGUAAUGAGUAAACUCACUUUACCUUCAAACCCACUCUGCCUUAAUUUGCAUUCAAACAAAUGAAAACCUCUUUCUUCUCCCUCUUUGAUUCCAGAUUCAUGCGUGUUCAAAAGACUCGUUGGGAGAAAACUCCUCACGAGCGGUGUGUGAUAUCUCGGCAGAUUUCCAGAUGAAGGAGAUUCGUUUUAACGCCUCUGUUCCUCUCGCCCAUCCCUCCUCUCACUCUUUCUCUUCCUCCUCUUCUCUCCCUCUGCAGGUGUUGGUGGAUGCGGUGCUUCAAAUAGACCAUGCCCUUCACAUGUGCCUGCUUCUGUGGCCUGAACGGCUUCUGCAGAAGACGGAAGAAGAAGAAAAAAGAGCAAGUGGAGGAAGAGGAGAGUGAAGAGGAAGAACAAUGGAGGGACCAGGAGACCCAAGUUUGACUCUGUCUCACCUGAUCAGGGUUUUCUCUUUUUACAGUCUGGAAUGUAAAUCCCAGGUUACUGCUGCUCAGCACUGACUGUCUGAUGUCAUGUAUAGAUGCCAAAGCAGAGAUGAAAAAGGGGCUUUAGCAUACACAAGCUAUUAUUCAAAGCCAUAAUCAACGGAUCUUUGCAAUUUUUACUCAAUAUUUCAGUCAGUAUGUUUACAUGUUGUUCAAAUGAUCAGCUUACUGCAUUAGUCCAAGUGAAAUGAGAUUAUAAAAGGACAUGUUAACACGUUGGUCCGACUAAGAUUGCAGUAAAUCAAACUUCUCAUAGUUGGACCAACAUAGUUAAAGGUCCCAUAUUAUGCAAAGUGAACUUUAGAAUGGUUUUCUUACCAGAAUAAUACCAGAAUAAUAUGCAUCCCCAGCCUGUCUACAAACCCCCCAAUGCUCCCGUCAACAAUUCGAUUCUUGUCCGGAGAUUGUCAAGCGGGACGAGGAGUGUGGUCCAAACAUGGCUCAACUUAACUGCAUGUAAACAUACUGACUGGCUGAGGUUUCAGGUUAAACACCUUUUCUACUUUUGAAACUGCUCAAACCCAACAACCACUUUGCUGUCUAGAGCCAUAUUCCUCCAGAUCAUUCAAGCCGUUGAAAGUAAAAGCUUGUGAACCCUGAGCCCAUCCCUGUUACCCAUCCCCUAAUUUACCCUCGGGAUCUCAUGGAGAUUUUAGCUUCUGCUGAUCUGAUUCCAAAAGCACAUUUUCCGAUCUGUUUGACUCAUGUUUUGCCAUAGCUGCUGUUCUGAAUCAGGAGUGAAGUGAAAACAGGCCCCAGAAAUCCAUUAUUCUUCCAUUCACACCUCUCAGUGAUACCACGUCUCUCUGUUCUCCUCCUUAUUCGCGACUCCACAGAGGCUAAAUUGGAACCGAGGCCCAGCAGAGCUCUGCAGCUCCUCAACUACCUGCUUAUGUCAGAUCAACUUAGUGAGAACUUCAGCUGAGUGAGAAGGUGUACAGUAAUUUCCAAAGUCACCCAUGGAGGGCUGGAGCCCAUCUCGUUUUUCACGCUGAGCUGGGCCCAAUCUAAAGCCGAGCAGCUGUCCAAUCAGCAGCUUAGCUGGAGUGUGAAGAUAGGAGUCAAGGGUCAGAGUGAGCAACAGGGUUUGUGAGAAGUCCCUCCUCUGAUGCCGUAGCAUCACCGUCUCAUUAUUAGGCAGAAAAGUAAUUACAAACACACACUCACACUAAUGCAGGCCCAUCCAUUAAUGUCCUCCUGUGGGAGUGGAGUGUCUGUCCGUAAAUGCCACUGCGGUGCGGUGCGCCUCCAGCUGUCACCUGUGUGAGUGUCUGACUCUGAGAGUGUGUCUGUUUCUUCUUCGCUACAACAAAAGACUUUCAAAAGUGAAACAAGUGGUGAAGAUAUCUAUUCAGCGGCUCCGGAGCGACUUUUUCUAAACCCACACUCACACACACACACACACACACAUAUGCUCCUCUCAUUAGCGCGUGUGAUUAUGCAUGGCACGUCCAGUCAGGCAGUGGAGAUGUAAUUAACCUUUUCCAGCAGGAAACAGAUGCCUGGAUGUCACACACAAACACACACAAUGACACACACAAUGACACACACAUACACACACGUCUGCUGUCAGGGAAACAAAGCCAACGUCAUGGUGUCACGGAAACAAAGCCCCAAAAGCGCCGCCUGGCACUCUGUGAUAAUCCCCUCACGCAUAUUUACAUUCAGGGCUUAGAAUACGCAUCGGUGCCGCCGCCGCCGUCCCGCCCCCCGCCCCCCCCUCCUCCUCCCCUGCCGCACUUUGCUCCUGCCCUUCAUCCAUCCUCUUGCUCCUCUCCAUCUACCUUUUGGCCUCUUCCACCUCAUUCCCCCCUUCUCCUUCUGCCAUUUCUCCUCCUUUCACACCUCCCCGUAGACUCUUUUCUCCGUCUGGCUCGCCUGUUUGUUAUCAGUGGACGGGACACAGCCUUGCAUUGCAGCCCCCCGUAGAUUAGCCCCCACUCUCUGUUUCUCUGACACCGAAUAUCAGGGAUUUCUUCAGGCGGGCCAAAAGCUGCUUUACGACAGAUUAAUGGACGUCUCUGAUUGUGUCUGUCGGUGUGUGUCUGUGCCUGGGUGGAAUAGAUUGUCUGUUUACUCAUUCUGCUGCUACAAGCGGCGAAAUGAGACAAAGCUAAAGCCAUUUCACAGUGUAGAGCACCUAUUAUGAUUCAGUGUGUUACGACGCAGCUCUAAUGAGAAAGAGAGAGAAUGAGAAGAGGGGCUGGAGGAGGAUAGUGGAGGAAGAGAGGAAAAGACGGUAAUGAGAGUGAGAUUUGGAUAUGGAAGAGGGGGGUAAUGCUAGACAGAGCAGUCAUGCUAAUUGGCUACAGUGGAUAACUUUCUGAGGCAGGGGAUGAGUGUGAACGUAUGAGUGUGUGUGUGUCUGUGUGUGUGUGUGUGUGUGUGCUGGGGGGGCAGAGAAAGAACGGCCCAAUCUGUCGGCAUUUCACUCGUUUAACGCUCCCUCCAUUUCACCUCUUUAAUGAGAGGAAUAUUCGCUCCAGUAAUGGCGAAAGACUUGAAAUUGUGAACGAUCUGUUGCUCAUACUUGCACACACACACACACACACACACACACACGUGCGGAGUGAGUGGGCCGAGGGGAGGAUGCUCUCGGCAGGGGGUGGGUGCGAGUGUUUUCUCACAAGCACCACAGCCCCAGUCCUUUAUGGAUCAUGGAAAUUUUCAGGGAUUGUAGCUCAAGGACAAACAGCUAAAAAUAGAGGGGUGGUGCACAGCGACUGCAACGGCGGCGAAGGAGGAGAGGUGUGAGGAGGUGUGUGCGUGUGGGUGGGUGGGGGCAGUGAAAACGAGUCCUGUCGCAUUAGAUUUGGGUCAGAAACGAGGGAAGAGCCGAUGAAGCGGAGAGUUUAGAGACGGGGAGAUUCAUCACUCGCUCCUCCCCACACCUCUCACUCGUCUCCUUCAACAGCUCGCUGCCCUCCCCCUCUCUGAGAAAAGAUGGUGAGAGCAAAGAGACACGACCACAUCUGGGUUGGUUAAUAUUAUUAUAUUAAUGUAUGCUGUUCUAUCCAAAGCCCUUUCCUGUAUAAUGAGUGCAUGCAUAAAUUAAUGUUAUGAAAGAGCUCAGAAAGGUACAAAAUCAAGGAUCACAGGGGGGCUGUUCAGAGUUUAAAGGAAGUUCAACAUUUUCAGAAACAUCAAAUUUCUAGACAGUUUAUCUUAAGAUGUAAAUACACACUCUCUUUCUCAGCUUCCCAGCAACAUUUGAGCUUAUCAGUCUCAAAGGACCCAUGGAGUAAAGUCAUACUUUCACCUCGACCGCAUCAUCUUAAUUGAAUCACACAUGUUAAUAGACUGUCUAACAAAGUGUUGGAGCAGCGAACAGUUAUGAAGGAGAAGAAAUCAGGUCAGGUCCAGUGAGGAGAUCCAAAGUGAGUCUACAUAAUACCAAAGCUGAAGGGUCAGCACAGCCAAACCUUUAGAGCAAGUCCUGUAGUUUCAAAUCCUGAUCCAAGCUAACAAGCUAACUAAUGGAGGUGACUGAUAAUGGUGCGUUCCAGUCGUAAUCGGAAGUCGGGAUUUCCGAGUACGUUCAACUGGAACGGCCAUCAGUUUUCCGACUCAGAAUGUCAGAUGAUCGACACAACCCCCUGAGUUGACAUUUAAAGAUGGCGGCGCCAGUUGUAAACAGUAAGUAGAAGCUCCUGUAAUGAGAAAAAACAGGCUACCUUCUGCGCCUUUGUGUGUCCUCUUCAUCCACCCAUGUUUGCAGGUUGCAGAAGGACUGCAUAUUUGUCUAGAAGUUGUCUAUAUUCGGAUGAGGCAAGCGCGAGAAUAACUUUCAUAGAUGUAGCCAUCUUGUUUCCGCUUCCGUUUUCUGCCAUUGGCUACUUUAUUCCGACUUUGUAACUGAGAUGCUGAUAACUUGGUGUGACGUCAUUCCCAGCUCCAACUUCUGAGGUAAACUGGAAAGCAGCAACGUAAUUACACUGUGAGGUGUUCAGGGUCAGAGUUCGUAAAAUUAGAAUUAGACCAAAGUAAAUGAUACCUUGUCAUGAUCUGUUCAAAUGUCAGGUUCAGAAAAAGAAAAAGUAGUUUUGGUUGAAAAAUCUGCACAAAUAAACCCGUUUGAAGGAAAACAAUGACAGAAAAGACUCAAUGGUGGUUUUGAUAGGGACUCAGGUUAUUAAGGAGUCUCAAUAAUGGUGUCAGCAUCCUUAGAAAAAACUAAAAAUCUCAAUCACAAUUUUCACUUUUGCUGGUGUAGGUACCAGAUGUGAUUGGGGUCGCCAGAUCUGCUCAGGGUCUGGCGCCUAUUGAUGACAUUACGCUAUAUGAUUGGCUGAAGUUGGUUCAGAUGACGUCAUAGAUUGUGGUUGCUCUGUACAUUACAGAAGUGAUUUUCGCCGGAUUAGGUUUCAUGGGAAUGUAGUUCUUUGGAGAAAACAUGGACGAAUUUUUACGAAGCAAUCUAUUGCUACUUAUCAAAGGGGACUUACGACAGUCAGACUAUUGAAAAACGGAGAUCCUGCUAAUUUUUUUUCUUUUUCCUUUAGAAAAGUUAACAUAUACAAUUAAAGCCAUCUAAAAAUUACAGUACAGUAAGUUGUAAUUCUCUGUAUUAUAUGAGGAGAACAUUUUGAGGUCAAUUAAAUGAACAAAUGGAAAUAAAGAAAACCACUAGGGGCUUUUAACUGAGGAAAUUUGACCAGUGCAAUGUAAUUUGUCGAAGUGGACUUGCCGUUGUGUGGCGUCUUCAACAGGUGCUGGGCCCCGAGCUGAUCUGGCUGGUUGCGCCUUUAUACUCUGCUGUUGGAGUUUCUUGGCCUUUGUGCAACGUUGCCCGGCAGAGUGGUUACAGCCACGCUCCCUCAUUUUCCACAUAACAUCUGUACAUUUGUGAGUAGCAUCCUACAAAUAUGCUCACUGCUUUAAGUCCACCCAUGAAUAAGUUGGUUAACUGGCUAAAGUCAAUUUGUAUGUUAGAGUCCAUGAAUGGCCUUUGUUAGGCUGUGCAGUGGGAAGAGAAGACUGUGGUGUGUGGUUUGGGCAGCUUUGCAACACAAAAGUACUUUAAGGAAAAAAUGUACCGUCUGUGUAAAAACAAAGGAAGCAAACAGGGCACGGUUCAUGAAAAUGGUUUCAUCAGAAAAAUUGAUGACAUAUGAUAAGGAUUAGUGAAAGCAGUGGAAGGAAUCCAAACAAGUCAGUGCCAGUGUCAGUCUCACGUUUCAAAAAGAGGAGCAACAUCCUGGAGCGCUCAGGGCCUCCUCAGUGGGUGGGUGUUAUUUUGAUUUGUAAACAUGUCAAAAUGAAUUCCAGGGUGAAUUGUCCUACAUUUAUAACUUGUUUGAGAAAAGAAGUUAUUGCCAAAAAAAGAACAAAUUGCUCCAGGUUGCUGAUAUCAAUCUUGCUGGGAUCUCUUAUCUUAAAAGAGUGCAUUGUAGUUAGCGCCUCAUAGUUUUGAGAAGAAAAAAAAGAAACUAAUCCCAUGGUUGUUGUUUUAAGAUAUGCAAUACAGCUGCAACAUCCCCAGUUUGAUUCUACCCAGACACCAGUAUUUCAUGACAUUGCAUCUGUGUGCCUUUUACCAUUAUCACAUUUUAAAAGUAUAAUUAAUCAUGAGUUCUACCAGCUUAAAAGUGCGAGUUUGAUUACAAUUAGUCUCAGGCUUGAUCUCUUCAUCAUCAUCUUCCUCUGAGAGUACUUUGUUGUGGCAUUGAAGGAGUUCCUGUCUGCCAACAUCGAACACCUUUACAAGCAAUUAAAAUCAUGUCUGUCCUGGCACUGUCCUUUAGGGAAUGAAACCCUCAACUCUGGCACUGUUGCAGCUCUUUUCCCCUCCAGCAUGUCCUCCUGUGCAUUAGUCUGUUGUCCUUCCAUUCCCCUCUCCUUCCCUCACCCACAUCUGUUCUGUUUUUGUAAUGAGGAGGAUGGUGAUGGUCCCACCAAGGCUAAUUAGUUGAACCGAGAAGCAAGGCAUUGAUAGACCGGCAAUAGAGUCUGGAGGGAAGCACCAACGCAGACCGCUCAGAGCGCCCACCAGUCCCUGAGCAUCAGAGGAGGAAACAACGGAGAGGAAAGCAGACAGAAGAGGGGAAAAAAACUGCCGAAAAGGAAGCAGAGGGAGGUAUAUAGCGUAAUUGAGACUGUAAUGGGUUUUGUCAGGAGCACCUGUCCGGGUCAAGUUAAAACCGCUCUGGUGAUGGAAGAGGAGAGAGAUGAGAGGAUGGAAAAGGAGAGAAAGGGCCAAUUGGAGUCAGGAUCCCGGAGAGGAGAGACCCUCGCCCAUGCCAACCUCACCUGAUUGCCAAUUUGUGCCAGUCUAAGGACAUCACAUGGCAAUACGAGCCGCCCGCGCGCACUCAAACGCCACUGAUUAGAGAGCUUUAACCAACUGAAAGCACCCGUACACAUUCAAUCACACUCAUGUGCAAACUCACGCUGACAGGCCUCCUACGCCGGCUGAUUGGACACAUCUAGGUGCUUAACAAAGUGUCCGUGGUGCAGAUCUAAGCUGUGUGAUUGGGAGAUAAAACUGACGGCUUUAAAUGGAUAAUUCUCCCCCACGUCUGGAUGAAAAUAAGGUGCAGCAAUGAUUAGAUUGCAGCCCGCUGUGCCAACCUCGGGUCUGCGCCAUGUUCAUUACCAACACUCACCCCCCCACCCAACAAAUCCUAUCUCAGUUUGUGUUCUCCUGCCAACCCCAAAUACUCUGUUCGUGAUGGAAAAGCAAUUCUGACACCCUCGAGAGUGGAGGUCGAUGCCUGAGGAGUGAUGAAAUUAAGUCGGGUAGAAUUUAUUUAUAAAUUGCUGUUAAAGCCGUACCUGGCAAUUUAACAUGGUGACAGGCCCAAAUGGCAGCGAGACAUAACUGAUGGAAAUUUAAGACCUCAGUACCAAAAGACUCUGUGAAGGUGGUGUCAGCGCAGGUGAUGGAGAGGUUCAACCAUCAUUCCUCAGGACAAAUUCAUACUCAAGUUUUACAAGAGACGUUUGCUGCCUGAAUCACAUACAGGCAGCAAAAAAGGCACACUCUCCUUUUCUGGAAGACUACAGGUGAUUUUUAGAUGGCACAGCUUUCUGUGUCACAUGGACUUUGCAUAUGCGGUAUGUGUGCCCUCAACUAGAAGCUGUCAGUGGGUAAAGAUCUAUUCACCCACCCUGUGAGUCAGCAAACACACAGAAAUCUAAGUGGAUUGUGUAGCUUGUUUCUCCUUGUAGUUUUAUUCCUGCUGGUUUUUCACACCUGCAUUUCUUGAGUAGACAGAGCGAAUACAAAUAACACUAAGGAUGAAUCUGCUUCUCCCUCCAACAAUGCAGUCAUCGUGUAUCUGGAAAAGUAUUUUCAGUUCAUGUGUAAUGGCUGUUAACUCGGAUAUCUGUAGAGAAGCAUUAGAAGUCGUAAUUCUUUAUCUGUUUUAUGGCGUUAAUUUUAAUAGAACAGAAAGAAACAUGGUAAAAAAGGUGUGCAUGGGGUAGAUGUAAUACCGACACAAGGUAGCCCAACAGGAUGGGCAAUGGGGUGUAUUUCAUUCCAUUUCCAAGACCAAAGAAAGACCAAAGUGAAUGUCUGCUAUGGAUGAAGUUGUGUGGCAGACCUCACAGCCAACUUAACGUCCAGAACAGGGGCAGACUGGGACCAAAAUUCAGGCCAGGAGUUUAACUCCAUCCAGGCCAGGCCAAUACACAUUGACACUUAAAUGCCAGCACCGGCGAAAAGUUUUGGACAUUUGAAGCCAGAUUUAGUGAAUAUAAUUCUAAUGUGAAGAAUUCAACAUUGGCUACAUGCCUUUAACUAUUUGUUUACUCAUUUAAACUAAGAGUGUAGCCUUCCACAUUGCUGUUGUAUUAUGAUAAAUGUUGAAAGCCUGUCAGAAAAAGUCAAAGUUCUCGAGAGGCAUAAAACUUGGAUUAGCACCACCAGCAUCGUAGCCAUCUCGGUGUCGGUCAGCGACCUUAUCAAACUCAAAACAAUCAGAUCUUAGAGCAACAGCAUGAAAAACACUUAAAGAUGUUGCCUCAGGGGGAGGAAGAGAAAGAAAAACCAUCAGCUCGGGAGCGGAGCAGACAACGAUGCUCAAUCAGCGCAUCCACGGCCGAUCACCUCACAGCUCUACUUCCUACUUUAGCACCAGCAACGUGUUGCCAAGGCAACGGACAUAAAUUAAUUAAUUAAACCCUUGCUGCUGGCCUGCUUCCAAGUUCAGUGGCCUACCUGCUGGCACACACACGCACACAAUUUGGUGGCAGGCCAGGCAAUGCCCCGAUGGUCCAGUCCACCACUGGUCCAGAAGAUCAACAAAGGGGUCUAUGUCAACAAAGCUUUAAAUCUACUAACUUUACCUACAUUUUUUUAAUCUUCAUUAGCGAUGUAGUAACAGAACUUUCGUCUCUGGUAAACUAGCUCACGCUAAUGUUAGCCCAGGUUAGCACACUAUAUGAGUGACUGUAACACUCAGUAACACUAAAAAGGCCUUCCUGCAUGUUCAACUUGUAGAACCCAACCAAAUUUUUAAUAGUAAAAUCUAAUUGGUCUGUUUUUUCUGACACAGAUGGGAAACCAUUGAGCGUGUCAGCAAUUCCAGACCCACCUGCUUACGAAACGUCUGUUGGGUCUGACAACACCAGGUUCCAUGUCUAUGACUUUUACAGCAGAGCAGCAUUGGAGCUUUGGUUCGCUGACAUCACCAUAAACAGGCCAUGGUGCAAUUUGUCUAGACAUUGUCGCUGUGAUUCCUGGAAACAGUCACCGUUAAUGCCACAGUUUGGGUGUUGGAGCAGUCUUUGCUUUAUGGUUUUAAUUGUCAGAAUUUUAUAAUGGCAAUAAGAACAUUUUAAACCAGCAGCAGAGUCAGCAGACACUGUGCCAGCAGAGUAUCCAAUUUAUGUCAAGUUGAGAGGCUGAAAAUCUCCUGUGGACUUCAGAGUUUGUGGGCUGAAGGUUAAAAGAUGCGCACAUUGAGAUGGAUGUAAUAUUUUUCUCAUCAACUUUAACACAAACUCCCAUAACUCUCAGCGAGUGCUCCGGGCUAUCUGAGCGUACACACUUCACUUUCAGCCACUGCUGCUGUUUAUAACUCUUGUUUGUUCAUAAUGGAGAGGAAGGGAGGCUUUGUGUUUUAUCCGACCAGAGAAAAACUUUUCUAAUUGACCAGGGGCUGUAAACAGGUCAGGAGACCCACAUAUCUGAUGCCAAAUAACCACCAUCAAGGGGAUGGGGGGUGUGUGUGAGGAGGGAGUGAAUCAAUUUCCUCCUGUUUUUUCCCCUCAGUCUUUUCUCCUCAUCCUGCCCCACCUCCUGCUCUUUCACACUAACUCAUCCACACACACACACAUCGGUGCUGGUCGAUAACAGAGCGGGUAUUGAGCAGUGGCUGUGGUCUAAAUGAGAGUUUGAUUUCUCGUGGGGUUGUUAGCCCCUGUAACCAUAGCGCUGUGUGGCCAUCAGAGACCUCUUCGCCAAACGUUCAUUGAUGAAGUGCGUUUGUGGGCUUCUGGCGGCGAGCGCGCGCUUUAAACACCUUUUGAUUUAGUUGUGCUCAAGAACAAUACUUUUCAUUAGAGGCUGAUAGCAUUCAUUAAGAGCAAUUCAGCGGGGCCACUAAUGAGCUGCUCCGCUCGUGAACACUUCAUUCUCCUUGAAAAACAAUGAAGCGCGGUAUCACACAAACACACGCUCUCUGAAAGACCGCACUUGUCCCUCUAGCAUCUUGAGUCAGUUCUUGAAAUGUUAGUUCAUCAGGGCUCUGUAUAAGUGAAAACAGGCCUGCCGAGGCUUUGAAACUGAAAACAAGUGAGCCUUCCUGCUUCAACUACAAAUGCACUUGUCAUGUUUGAGCUCAUUCCUUACAUUUAUCGAGCCGCUGAAGCUGUCUAAACCGAGAAAAAACCUCCACCUUCGAUCUAGUAUGUGGCCAAAGCUGCCAAAACCUUUGAGCUCUUUCCAGCACCCUUUAGACGAAGCUUUCCCUUGCAGGUUCAAGAUUUAAGUUUGAGUCUUGCAAAUUCUCCAAACAGCUCUUUAGUUGAAUUUGUGAAAUGCAAUCUCCUUUUACUUCCAAGUUGUUGUUUUUUUUUUUUGUAUUAUUCAUAUCUGCCAGCCUUUGCGGCAAGGGAGCGAGCCGAGCAGAGAGAAAAACGGAGAACAGAGGUUGGACCUUUGACGGUAGCAUUGAUGAACAGCUCGACAUAGUGAGAUACAUAAACAUGAGGUCAGAGAGUAUCGCAGUGGGAGAUGGAGACGGAGGAAGGAGAAAGAAGGAGAGAGAGGGGGAGAACGAGUGAGCGAGCGAGAGGAAGACAGAUACACUGCAUCAGAAAGGUUGUCUCUCAUUGACAAGCCCUCACUCUGUUCAGGAAACCCACCAAUCAAUUCUUUGGCACAGCGGGGAACACACUCAAAUACACACAAUCGCACAACCUGUGAGGCAAUUUGUGUGUGUGUGUGUGUGUGUUAGAGUGAUGAAGGAAAGGAUGUGCCAGAGGUCUGCAUGCUGCAGGAGAGUGUGUGUUUGAAAUGCAGAGCACGUCAAGAGUCCUAGGGAGCUCCUUUUGCAGCAAAGCCUCAUUAAAGAGACACUUGCCUUAAAGCAAGGAUAUACUGCCAGACCACACACACACACACAGACAGACACACACAGAGACAGACAUAUACAAUUGACACCAGCACUACAGCUUCACUCAGACUAAGACAAAGUGACAGCAGAAGCGGCGUCGGACAAACUGAAUCGAGAUCCCGGUGAAGCCGCGAGUGGAAGGAUAAAUGCGUGGUCGUGUUUGUCCUCCACUUUCAUCCCUUUUUUCUUUUCCUCUUGUUCUCCACAUGAAUAAAGUUUCAUUUAUCCAACCCCCACUCCGCCCCCAUCUCACACUAAUAUUAUAUUCAUAUAUAUUUGAUUGUGUCAACUCUGUGGAGACUGGCUAUGCUGUAUCUUGUGUGCCUUUUAAAAAUGCAUCUAUGAAUAAAUAAUGUCUGUAUCCGCUGAUUGAAAAAGCCAUAUUGCCAGAAAGCCAUGAUGAAAUGAUAAUGUAAUAUCUGUCCCUGUGUUGAAUAAAGCAAAGCACCCCUCAGACUCUCCCUCCCUCUUUUUUUAAUUCUCCUAGUAAAUGAAACUUAAGCUCUGCAUCUGCACCUUCCUCUACCGCCUGAUGACAUUCUCAUGUAUGGUUUGCACUGCUGCUCUGAGUGUGUGUUUUAAUAAAGAGAGAUCAUCUUUCUAUACGUCUGAGUGUGUGUGCUUGUUUGGAGAUAUUAAUAAAGAGAAGCAAGCCGUUUCCCGAGCGGCUCCCCUGCUAAUUGACAGUGAUAGCAGAGAGCCGUCUCCUGGGCUGAUGUCGGAGCCUAAUAAAGAUGCAUUACUACGAGGAUGUGAGAAUGAUGCAGAUCCCGUGUCCCCCCGCCCCACCCCAUCCUCGCUCCCUCUCUCUCUAUUUCUCCCAUCCUCCCUCUCUGAUAAACUAGGCCAAAAAAAGGGGAUAUGGGAAUGUAAAUAAUGAAAUGGGAGCAAGUAAAGGAGAGUAAGAAGAGGAGGUGAGAGGAGAGUUGGGGGAGAAGACUGCAUUGAGAGAGAGAGAGAGAGAAAUCCCAUUAGGAGCAGCUCCAUGCCUAAUGAAUGGGAUGCUAAGUUUGAUAACCCCUGCUUAAUUUCACAAAUUCUUAAUUGGCAUGACAUUUCAAGUUACAAGCUCGGGCCAUUUUGUGACCCUGUGGUGUCGCUCGGUAAAUAACACACACGCAUGUACAAGCACAUGCGCGCUUUGGAGGCAGCCGCUGUGGCUCGUGGCUUUGAUAUUCUCUCAUUAGCAUAGCAACAGCGAGCUGACCAUCCACAAGGGAGACAGUAACCCAGGCAACCAGAGCAGGCUGGUCUAACUAUGGGAACCAGAGGCAAAAAUGGAGAACUCCUCCAACUCUUCAUCCCAACGUAUCAACACACCCAAGAAUUAAGCAAUGAUCCGCCGCUGUACCCUGUGAGAGGCAUGGUUAUGUUCAAUUCUUGUCGUCAGUCUCUGGAUCAUGUUCAGUACUUAUGUUUUAAAAAGUUUCCAUCAUCUGUGGGUUUAAGAGGGCAAAUGCAAAUGCACUUAACAUCUUCUGUAUGCACAUCAGUGUUUUGUAUUUAAAACUCAAAAUGUGCCAUGUACCUUCAGGCGUCAGACUGACAGUCGGUGACCUUCUUGAAUGAAGGUCCUGUCUUUGUACAACAUGCUCACCAACACUGCAAAACCGUAGACUGUAUAUAGAAUGGACAUUGUCUGCCUCCUCGCUGGGUGAAGCCACAGCGAGGACAGCACCCUCUGGUGACGGGCUGCAGUAUAGAUCAUAAAUCCCGCCUCCUCCAGCUGUGGACAAACUUUAGAAAUUUCUUACACAGAUAUAAAGUUUUCUCCCCCCUGGUUGCGAUGUUGACAUGUAGUUACUGUAAGACUGGUUUGUGCUCAAGUCCUCUAUUUUCUCUACAGCUCCAUUUUUAAAAGUUAUUAGGGGGUUCAUGUUUUCUAUGAUUGACACUUGAUACAGCCUAUGGCCGUACCUAGAUUUGAGCCGAGUGUCAUCACAGCGACUCUCUGCGACUCUCCCACCGAAUGCGUACAACGCUACUGCGCAAGUAGUGGUUCCGGGAAGUGGAGAAAAUCCCAGAAAUACUGAGAGCAAUUCAGCUUCAAAUCAGUAUAACGACGGAAGGCGGAGCCAAGUUGUCCAUAUUAUCCAGUCCAGUUAAUGUGCAGAACUAUGGAGUGGAUUCAGAGUUUUAAAAGAGCCAAACCAUUUUGAAAUGAGCCCCUUUUCCUGGCAGGUGGCCUAGUAUCACAGGCCGGGGGAAUGAUCCUGCUCAAUUCAUUCAAUUUUUUAAAGGGACGUACUAAGGACCACAAACUAAAGGGGACUGUGCAGAUGAGAUUAACAUGUGACGAAGGGCAGAGCAACAGUAAUGCUCUCAGACAGCUGCAUAAAAAGGAAGGGAUGUUUCUUAUAAUUGAACACUGUUUUUGCCUCGUUUAAAUGAAAAUACAUCAUCUGGUUAGCUUAAAACAGCCGGCAUUAUUUCCUAAACCUUUUAUCUCUCUACUGGUACUGACAAUUACCGAAGUAUUGCAGAAUCAGAAGAAGAAGAAGAAGAAGGUUGGUAUCUGUUGAGUUCGAGGCUUCCCCUUUGACUUUUGUCAGAGCUGAUGAAGACAUGAAAGUUAGUCAGUAACAUUUACCUGUAAACUAUGUAAAGUCGUGUAAUUUCUGCCUUGUCUCAACUUUCUUAAAAUUGACUGUAAGUACCUAUUGUGUUUUCUAUAAGUGUUGUAAAAUUGUCAUCAUUGUGGUUGUAUUAAUUGUAAGGUGAAGCACUGGUAUUGUAGCGACUUGUCAUCCAUUUUUCUACUGCUGGUCACCUUGUCUUCAGUUAACAUCAAUAAAACAUUUCAAUAUUGAAUGAGCUUUGGCCUUCAGUGUAUACUAUCAAUUUGUUGAAGACAAGAAUAAGAAAAAAAUAGUAGCAUUUCACUGAACAGGGAGAGGUAACGAUUGCAUCAGAAACAGUGACGCAUUGUGACGCCUGAACAGAAAGCACUACAAAGUCUUUAGAGCUGAUUAAAUGGGAUAUAACUUUUCCAUUGGUGAGAUUUUUGUAGCACCUGCAAGAGGAUUUUGUAAUCUUCUUAAGUUCAACGUGCUUUCUAGAUGAUCUACACAGUGAUUAUGCUGAUGGUACCUGACUGGCUUAGCUGCUGAAAGGAGUGGCUGAGUUAACAAACCGUUAUAACAAUGUAAAGGAUCUGAUCCAGAACCAAUAUUUAAAACUUAUUUCCUAAAACUGUUUAACCACCCUUUAACAUUUCCUUUGUCAUACUUUUCUUACUAAACAAUGUUGACCAAAGUUAGCGGUGCUUUUCUAACUAACUUUCUAAAUCCACUGUAAGUAAGCUACUUAAUGCUAUUCCUUGAGGCAAUAUUCAGGCGUAAAAUUAAGUUAGGGUCAAACACACGGUAACACUGAGUUAGACAACCCCUCGAGAGAUGAAUGUUGCCGACUGCUUGCUUCUUUAGUUAUACCAACUUUAGUAACGACACAGCAAUACACAGCGGUCUACGUCUCCAAGCAACAAACCUCAACCAAAACGCCA